Molecule: ribosomal RNA, 253 nt
Filed under: uncultured bacterium
Lineage: Bacteria
Description: partial 16S ribosomal RNA
Rfam family: Bacterial small subunit ribosomal RNA
Source: RNAcentral
UACGGGGGGGGCAAGCGUUGUUCGGAAUCAUUGGGCGUAAAGGGCGCGUAGGCGGCCUUCUAAGUCGAACGUGAAAUCCCCGGGCUCAACCCGGGAACUGCGUCCGAUACUGGAAGGCUUGAAUCCGGGAGAGGGAUGCGGAAUUCCAGGUGUAGCGGUGAAAUGCGUAGAUAUCUGGAGGAACACCGGUGGCGAAGGCGGCAUCCUGGACCGGCAUUGACGCUGAGACGCGAAAGCGUGGGGAGCAAACAGG